CACCGCGGUUAUACGAGAGACCCAGGUUGAUGGCCCUCGGCGUAAAGAGUGGUUAGGAGACAUUUUAAACUAAAGACAAACGACCCCAAAGCAGUUAUACGCACAUGAAGGUACGAAGAUCAUCCACGAAAGUGACUUUAAACCCCUGAACCCACGAAAGCUAAGGAA
This 168-nucleotide ribosomal RNA is filed under the name Coris batuensis (Batu coris). RNAcentral's name for it is "partial 12S rRNA". The record is from RNAcentral. Lineage: Eukaryota; Metazoa; Chordata; Actinopteri; Labriformes; Labridae.